This 397-nucleotide ribosomal RNA is filed under the name Mesobacillus foraminis. RNAcentral describes it as "bacterial SSU rRNA". It matches the Rfam family "Bacterial small subunit ribosomal RNA", at positions 481 to 876 of the family's 1533-position model. Lineage: Bacteria; Bacillati; Bacillota; Bacilli; Caryophanales; Bacillaceae. The record is from RNAcentral.
AACCAGAAAGCCACGGCUAACUACGUGCCAGCAGCCGCGGUAAUACGUAGGUGGCAAGCGUUGUCCGGAAUUAUUGGGCGUAAAGCGCGCGCAGGCGGUUCCUUAAGUCUGAUGUGAAAGCCCACGGCUCAACCGUGGAGGGUCAUUGGAAACUGGGGAACUUGAGUGCAGAAGAGGAGAGUGGAAUUCCACGUGUAGCGGUGAAAUGCGUAGAGAUGUGGAGGAACACCAGUGGCGAAGGCGACUCUCUGGUCUGUAACUGACGCUGAGGCGCGAAAGCGUGGGGAGCAAACAGGAUUAGAUACCCUGGUAGUCCACGCCGUAAACGAUGUGUGCUAAGUGUUAGAGGGUUUCCGCCCUUUAGUGCUGCAGCAAACGCAUUAAGCACUCCGCCUGG